This 67-nucleotide transfer RNA is filed under the name Loxodonta africana (African savanna elephant). It matches the Rfam family "tRNA". From Rfam's summary of the family: Transfer RNA (tRNA) molecules are approximately 80 nucleotides in length. Lineage: Eukaryota; Metazoa; Chordata; Mammalia; Proboscidea; Elephantidae. The record is from Rfam by way of RNAcentral.
GGUGGCAAAGUGGUUAAGCAUUCUGCUGUUAACUGAAAGGCCGGUGGUUUGAACCCACCAACCACCC